Molecule: ribosomal RNA, 439 nt
Filed under: uncultured Geobacter sp.
Lineage: Bacteria; Pseudomonadati; Thermodesulfobacteriota; Desulfuromonadia; Geobacterales; Geobacteraceae
Description: bacterial SSU rRNA
Rfam family: Bacterial small subunit ribosomal RNA
Source: RNAcentral
CCUACGGGGGGCAGCAGUGGGGGAUAUUGCGCAAUGGGCGAAAGCCUGACGCAGCGACGCCGCGUGGGUGAUGAAGGCCUUCGGGUCGUAAAGCCCUGUCGAGGGGGAAGAAAUGGUCGAGACCCAAUACGUCUCGAUCUUGACGGUACCCCUAAAGGAAGCACCGGCUAACUCCGUGCCAGCAGCCGCGGUAAUACGGAGGGUGCAAGCGUUGUUCGGAAUCACUGGGCGUAAAGCGCGUGCAGGCGGCUCGUUAAGUCUGGUGUGAAAGCCCGGGGCUCACCCCCGGAAGUGCACUGGAUACUGGCGGGCUCGAGUCCCGGAGAGGAGGGUGGAAUUCCUGGUGUAGCGGUGAAAUGCGUAGAUAUCAGGAGGAACACCGGCGGCGAAGGCGGCCCUCUGGACGGUGACUGACGCUGAGACGCGAAAGCGUGGGGAG